Molecule: ribosomal RNA, 511 nt
Filed under: Batrachomatus wingii
Lineage: Eukaryota; Metazoa; Arthropoda; Insecta; Coleoptera; Dytiscidae
Description: partial 16S ribosomal RNA
Rfam family: Bacterial large subunit ribosomal RNA
Source: RNAcentral
GUCCUUUUGAUUUAUAUAUAAGGUCUAGCCUGCCCACUGAAAGUUUUGAAUGGCCGCAGUAAUUUGACUGUGCAAAGGUAGCAUAAUCAUUAGUUUUUUAAUUAAAAGCUUGUAUGAAUGGUUGGACGAAAUAAAAGCUGUCUCUAUUUAAUUUAUUGUAGAAUUUAAUUUUUAAGUUAAAAAGCUUAAAUUUAGUUUAAAGACGAGAAGACCCUAUAGAUCUUAAUAUUAAUUUUAAUAAUUUUAUUUAGUAAUUUUUUAUUAUUUUAUUAUAAUUAGUAUUUUAUUGGGGUAAUAUAAAGAUUAAAAGAAUUCUUUAAUUUUAUAACAUUGAUUUAUGAUUAUUUUGAUCCUUUUGUAAAGAUUAUUAGAUUAAGUUACCUUAGGGAUAACAGCGUAAUUUUUUUAGAGAGUUCAUAUCGAUAAAAAAGUUUGCGACCUCGAUGUUGGAUUAAAAAUUAUCCCAGGUGCAGAAGUUUGGGAUUUUGGUCUGUUCGACCAUUAAAUUUUU